GCCUAGCCCCGAUAGAAGUAAAAAUCCUUGUGAACCGGGGUUCGGUUCACAAGAUUGAAGCGGACAGCGGGACUACUG
This 78-nucleotide small RNA is filed under the name Flavobacterium sp. 1. Its description in RNAcentral is "Flavo-1 RNA". It matches the Rfam family "Flavo-1 RNA". Lineage: Bacteria; Pseudomonadati; Bacteroidota; Flavobacteriia; Flavobacteriales; Flavobacteriaceae. The record is from RNAcentral.